GGUUGUCGUCAGCUCGUGUCGUGAGAUGUUGGGUUAAGUCCCGCAACGAGCGCAACCCUCGUUCUAUGUUGCCAGCACGUAAUGGUGGGAACUCAUGGGAUACUGCCGGGGUCAACUCGGAGGAAGGUGGGGAUGACGUCAAAUCAUCAUGCCCCUUAUGUCUUGGGCUUCACGCAUGCUACAAUGGCCGGUACAAAGGGCUGCAAUACCGUGAGGUGGAGCGAAUCCCAAAAAGCCGGUCCCAGUUCGGAUUGAGGUCUGCAACUCGACCUCAUGAAGUCGGAGUCGCUAGUAAUCGCAGAUCAGCAACGCUGCGGUGAAUACGUUCCCGGGUCUUGUACACACCGCCCGUCAAGUCAUGAAAGUCGGUAACACCUGAAGCCGGUGGCCUAACCCUUG
Molecule: ribosomal RNA, 399 nt
Filed under: Microbacterium sp.
Lineage: Bacteria; Bacillati; Actinomycetota; Actinomycetes; Micrococcales; Microbacteriaceae
Description: bacterial SSU rRNA
Rfam family: Bacterial small subunit ribosomal RNA
Source: RNAcentral